UGGAAGGAUGAGACAGAUGACCUUUAAAAAGCAAAAAGCGGUUUGCCAAACAUCUGUUAUGAGACUGAAGGCUCUUACGACUCUGGAUCUACAGUGAAGACAAUUUUCUUGUUAUCAAACCACUGAUACAUUUAGAGUGCGGGCUACUUGUAUCAUCUGACAUUUUAACAUCAGUUUGAGAGUGCUAAUGAUCUUAGUUAAGAGGAUGGCCGGAUGAAAACUGCAUAUUCCAUGCUUUCAGACAAUGUUGUAAAAUAACAGCUUCCCUUGAAAAGUUACAUAAGCCUUCCUCUGAGACACUUCUUGGGAAGGAGGUGCCAGGAAAUUGUGGAUUGGAGCCAGAAAGGCUGCUACAUCUCGGUGUGAAUCUGAAAAAUAACCAGUACUGGGUUUGUGUAACUGUUGUGGUUUAACCCCAGCCAGCAACUGAGUACCAUGCAGCGCUCGCUCGCCAUCCCUGGCCCUGCCGUUGAAUAAG
Long non-coding RNA from Pezoporus occidentalis (night parrot), 478 nucleotides. RefSeq lists it as uncharacterized. The record is from RefSeq and is a predicted model, not a curated record. Lineage: Eukaryota; Metazoa; Chordata; Aves; Psittaciformes; Psittacidae. The transcript is spliced from 3 exons.